This is a long non-coding RNA of Pipistrellus kuhlii (Kuhl's pipistrelle), 300 nucleotides long. RefSeq lists it as uncharacterized. The transcript has 4 exons. The record is from RefSeq and is a predicted model, not a curated record. NCBI's taxonomy places the organism in Eukaryota, Metazoa, Chordata, Mammalia, Chiroptera, Vespertilionidae.
CAGGAGCCGGGGCGGCCGGGUCUGGGCGUGGGGAGCCCCAGCCAGGCAGCCAGGGCCCGGGAGGGCCUCCCGGGGCUGUGCCCCCAGCCCGUGCCCCCAGCCCCACCCACAGAUGGGGACCAGGAGCCCAGAGGUGGGACGGCACCUCAUCCGGGGCCCACGCCUCCUGCCUGCUCGGUGGACAGUGAGCCCCGAGGCUUGGGAAGCGGGGUACCCGCUCCCUCUGUGCCCUAACCUGGCCCCUCCUCACCCGCAGCUCAGGGCACUGGGCCGUGGCCCAGGCAGCGCCGGAGACCCUGC